UCAAACUUGGUCAUUUAGAGGAAGUAAAAGUCGUAACAAGGUUUCCGUAGGUGAACCUGCGGAAGGAUCAUUACCGAGUUAGGGUCUUCUCAGGCCCGACCUCCCAACCCAAUGUUUAUUGAACCAUUGUUGCUUCGGCGGACCCGUCCUGUGGGACCGCCGGGGGUCUUUGUGCCCUCGGCCCGCGUCCGCCGGUGGCCUCGAUAAAUUCUGUAUUAAUCGUGUCUAUUGUCUAAGUACACAAGUCUUUAAUUAAAAAGCAAAACUUUCAACAACGGAUCUCUUGGUUCUGGCAUCGAUGAAGAACGCAGC
RNAcentral lists this unclassified non-coding RNA (312 nucleotides) under uncultured fungus. RNAcentral describes it as "partial contains small subunit ribosomal RNA, internal transcribed spacer 1, and 5.8S ribosomal RNA". The stretch from base 1 to 73 matches the Rfam family "Eukaryotic small subunit ribosomal RNA", at positions 1759 to 1831 of the family's 1831-position model. Lineage: Eukaryota; Fungi. The record is from RNAcentral.